Molecule: long non-coding RNA, 555 nt
Filed under: Homo sapiens (human)
Lineage: Eukaryota; Metazoa; Chordata; Mammalia; Primates; Hominidae
Description: HSALNT0147499
Source: RNAcentral
CUCCAUAGGAAUCUUAGUGGUCUAGCACCAAGUCCUCAGGAUUAAUUAUUAUUCCACAGCGACCUGUUUGGAUAAUCAUGGUGACCUUGAUUUGGGGAAUUUAACAUUUAUCGUCAUUGAAUUUUAUGACUACAUGCUCCUACUACCCUUUUUGGCAAGAAAAUCUAUAAUUAGAGUUAUGACAUAACAUAAACCAUCUAGAGAUAUGAUGGGAUGGUGCAUUGCAAGUACCAUGGCAUAAAAACCUGGGAGACUUUAUGACAUUAGUGGUAUGAGUGAUGAGAAAAUCUUUGUCUUUUCUUAUUGUCUUUUUUGCUUGCAGGACAUCAAACAGUAUGACUGUCUGAAGACUUAGGGAAUCCUAGGUACUGGAUUCCACAUGAAAAAAUGACCAACCAGGAAACCUAGUUUAUAGCAAAGGAGGUGCUAAGGCAAACCUCUGACCAUGAGAUGAACUAAUCAUUUAACAUACAACACCACUCAUUAACUGGAAGACUAGAAAUCCCGCUUGGAGGCAAUACUUUAUGAGGAUGCAACACAAUCCAUGCUGUGGUA